Hymenopellis radicata is the source of this 94-nucleotide non-coding RNA. NCBI's taxonomy places the organism in Eukaryota, Fungi, Basidiomycota, Agaricomycetes, Agaricales, Physalacriaceae. The record is from the annotation of a GenBank genome assembly.
GCCUACUUAGCUCAGUUGGCUAGAGUGCACAAGAAGCAUUUGUCUCCCUUCAUAUGCACUUGUGAGGCCGCGAGUUCGAGUCUCGCAGUGGGCG